Molecule: long non-coding RNA, 1144 nt
Organism: Cydia pomonella (codling moth)
Lineage: Eukaryota; Metazoa; Arthropoda; Insecta; Lepidoptera; Tortricidae
Exons: 3
Source: RefSeq, a predicted model, not a curated record
UCAAUACAAGGGCCUGACACUCUUUGAUAGAGAAAGAUAGUCUUAUUGCGAUUCCUAUAAGAGGAAAGAGAAAAUAGUGCAAUGCUUUGUCUUUAUCACCGACCGGGUUUUUUUUCAUGGUCGGGUUAUGGCAGCUUAGGAAGGAGGCUGAUGGCGAUAUACAGAAAUUUAUAAGAGUGAAAGAGACAAAAUACCGCAAGAUGCCAUACAUUAAACUGUCAAUCAUAUUGUCAAGAGUGCUAGUAAACAAUGUGGUUUUCUUAUUGUAGAAGUUUUAUAAAGUGAAUGAUUGUGUUUAUUAAGUAUUUAAUGGAGGUGUAAGAAGUUUUUACGUACAAUUAACAUGGUGGGGUGUUCAGUGGUUGCCUACAAAAGCAAUAGCUUGCGAAAAUAAGCGGGUGUAACAUUUCAUGCCUUUCCGACGGAGGAUGAAAUUGUUAAAGAAUGGAUUGCGGGAACUGGAAAAUCAAAUUGGAUGCCUCACAAAUACUCGCGUAUUUGUUCCAAACAUUUUGAACAACAUUGUGUCCGCAAACUGGGCAAACGAACUUUCAUCGAAAAGUUUUCUUUUCCAACCUUGUUCAUACACGAGAGGAGAGAGAACAUUCUUUUCUUCAUCAUGUCAUGGAAAUCUUCCAUUCGUGCACGUCGUCGUCGUGGCAGUCUCAACAGCAUUCUGAAGCUAUUUUUGAACUUCAUAUAAUUGAUCCACAUGUUACAAGUGUAUGUGUAAAUAAAGUUUUCUUGACCCCCACAGUAUGUACAACGCGCAACACGUAAGAUUUUUUAUUUAAACAUAAAUAUUCGGUUUUAAGUAACAGUUUUAAUGUAAAUGACCAUGUUAGCUUAAAAUCAUAUACUGCGUAUCUACUGAGGUGUCGCUCAAGCACACCGUCAAGAACCUUCGCUGCAAUAGGGUUGUUUCCAUUUUGAAAUGCUUGUAUUAUAUAAUAUAUAUAUAUAUAUAUAUAUAUAUAUAUAUUUACCAAAUUAUGGCCUAAAAUUCAAUUUAUUUGUGUUGUUCUCAAGUAAAAGGUACCACAUUGUCGCUUAUCAUAAGAACGCUCUUACAGGUUGUACGUAUAAAGAGCAAGCAAAUUGUAUCCUUAUGGUAAGCGACUAUGUGGUACCUUUUACUUGAGAA